This 11081-nucleotide long non-coding RNA is filed under the name Selaginella moellendorffii. RNAcentral describes it as "long non-coding RNA (SMOE_LNC000163)". The record is from RNAcentral. Lineage: Eukaryota; Viridiplantae; Streptophyta; Lycopodiopsida; Selaginellales; Selaginellaceae.
CCAGAGUACUAAAGAAACAUUGAGUUAUCCGAGUCUUAUUGAAAAAGGGAUCAACAUUGCUAAAUAUUCUAACUACCAUCAUGUUGUGACAAGAUUAAUAAAACGUGCCCGCAAGGUACUAAGGCCCAAUUUCCACUAUCAAUAAAAACUUUUAGCAAAUCAAUUGCAUCUUGGAAGGUCUGCAUUCGAAGCUAUGGUGAGUUUUUUGAGCGGCAGCUUGAAAUAUGUCUCAUCAAGCAACGCAGGAAAUGGAGAGCAAUGCACAAACCCACCUGUAUGCUCAAAACGGAACUCUGGAUUUUUUGGGCCAGCCUGCUCUGAAGAAGGAAACUGGAAACUGGACCGGAGCGAUCCCUAUGAUCUGUCAAGUUUCUCCAACUGUUUGCAAAGCUUUCAGUGUCUUGACUUUGCUAGUGUGUUGCAGUCAUCCAAGUAGUUGCGACGGUCAUCUUCUUCGGCAUAAUCUCCAACCUGCUGACAUGUUAUGCAUCGAGAUGUUUCUCAAUCCGCAAGUGACGCUAACAAUUUGCAGGGCACUUACUUUCUCUCCUCAGUUCUUGGGGCUUUUCUCUCCGACACAUACUGGGGCCGCUACAGGACGCUGCUGUACUCUUUCGUGCUCUAUGGCGUGGUGAGUACUUGAAAUUCUAUCUGCAAAAGUAGCUUUACCAACACCAAUCCAAAAACAAAAACUGAAAAACUUACCAGGGAUUGACAUGCAACACCAUCUCCGCAUCCCUCAAGAACUUGCGGCUUACAAGCUGCCCGGCUCAAAGCCCCACUUGCCAGCAAGCAUCGCCCGGGCUGAAUGCUUUCCUCUUCCUCUCGCUCUACGCACUUCGCAGGUGGAAGCUACCACCUCAUUCGUGUCCUUCGGAGCCGACCAGUUUGACAACUUCAUCGUCUGGGGCAUUCACAUCGGAGGCUUGGUUUCCGUCACCAUGAUCGUAUACAUUGAAGAUCACGUCGGUUUCUCGUGGGGAUUUGGCCUUCUCGGCCUUAUCCUUGCGGUAUCCAUAGCUCUGUUCCUCAUCCAGACCACCAGAUACCGGUACCGUAGGCCCGAAGGAAGCCCCCUUACGAAAAUGGUGCAAGUCACGGUAGCAGCUUUCAGCAAGCGUAACGUCGUUGCACCAUCCCUGAAGAACAGUCGAUUGCCAAAGGGAAAAGACACAUUCCACACACUAACCAGUUCCGGUGAGUGACUGUAGCUCUCGACUUUUCCCUGUUCUUAGCUUCGUUCGUGACAAGGCAGCACUGAAGCUCGAUACCGACAUGGAGAUGGAGUCUUCCACGACGAAAACCAGCCCCUGGAAGCUUUCCACCGUGACCCGAGUCGAGGAAGUCAAGCUCGUCAUACGAAUGCUCCCAAUCUGGUUGGCAACGCUCUGGUUUAGCAUUGCUCCAUCUCAGUCCGCCACCUUCCUCCGCCAAGGAAUGGCUAUGGACAACCGGCUUGGAAGCACCAUCCCGCCAGCAACCUCACCGUGGUCCUCUUCCUCCCACUCUACGACCGUAUCAUCGUCCCAACCAUAAGAAAGUUCUCCGGGAACGAGCGUGGCAUCACCUUGCUCCAGAGAAGCGGGCUGGGAAUCUUCAUCGCCGCCAUCGGCCUGGGCAUCGCAGCGCUGAUGGAAAUCAAGAGAAAAGCCUGGAUGAAUCCCACCACCACCGUCACGAUCUUCUGGCUGGUGCCGCACUACGUGGUGCUGGGCAUAGCGGAGGGCCUCACAAACUCAAGCCAGCUGGAAUUCUUCCACGAGCAAUCGCCCGACACCUUCCACAGCCUGGGCACGUCCCUGGCGCUCGCGAACCUGGGUGUGGGGAGCUUCUUGAGCAUUCCCUGCGUCAAUCGCGCGGCGCCGUCGUGGCUCCGGAACGGUGUGAAUUCCGGGCAUCUGGAGCGCUACUACUGGCUGAUCUUGGGGCUGAGCCUCGUGAAUCUGGCGAUCUUUGUGCCGGUCGCGCGCUGGUACUCGUACAAGAGCCCUGAUCCCUAAGCUCUAAGAACCCUAAAAUGCCCACUUAAAAAUCAAUUUUUCUUUUACCUUUAAAUGUAGUUUAAUGUCUCAUAAAACUUUAACACUGCCCAUUAAAUUAGUUCUUCUACUUAGGGUCUUUUAGCAAGACAAGAAACCAAAAGCCUACCUUGCUCGGAACCAAUUUUAAAAUAAACCAUUUUUUUAGGGUAGUUUAACCAUAUGUUUAAGAAACUUUUUACUAGUCAAUUGUUGGCAAUUGCCCCUCUGUUUAGUUCUAGUCGAGUUACAUCAUUAUCGUCUUCUACCAUGUUUUUUGUGUUUAGUCCAAGAGCUCGCAUUUCUUCAUUGACAUUAGUGUCUCCAAUGUAAAUUAGAAAAUUAUGCAAAAUGCAGCAGGAAAAAAAACAAAAGAAGAAUGAAGCUAGGACAUAGCUUUAAGCAAAUGAAAUACACAUUCUACAAAUUGGUCUUCCUUUUGAGAGCUCUUUGUUGUAGAAGCGCUUGGUUUCAUUGAGAUCUACUGAUUAUGGAGAAAUGGUCAUAAUCCACAGACAGCACAAUUAGCCUUUGUCACAAAGUAGGUACCAUGGGAGUGAUCUAAAUGUAGAAGUUGAGGUAUAGAUUGCAGAUUUUCGGAGUACACCAACCAUGGCGCUACUGCAAGUAUAGCCAAUAGCAAUCCUUCUUCCACUACAGUUCUGCUUUAGUUGUUCGUGCAUCAAGAGAUCCAAGACACCUUAAAUCCAAGUAUCAAGAGUAGCCACAAAAAUUGAAUGAUUUCUUUAGGAGUAGCAACAGCAAUGGUGAAUGGUUUAUUAGUUUUUCCAUUUCAAGCCCAAAGUUUUGCUUUGCUUUGGGAAGAACACUUUCUCCAUUCCUUGGAAGGGCCAGUUGUUCCAAAUUCUUGUGGUUGCCAAGGAUUUUCUAUGAGGAGCAACAUGUGUUGGAAGAACUUAAGCACACUUUUAGAAUUUCAAAGUAGCUUGCAUUAUAGAGAAGCUUGUAGUGGGCAAAUCAAUCUGAUCAAUCCACAUUAAAGAAUUGAAAUUGAUACUAAAAACUGACAUACCCUAAUCAAUUGAUUUGUUCUAGGUGGCACUAUUGCCCAACAAUUGCACUCUUUGAGUUUUCCUUUACUAGCAAAGAUGCAUGUAAAAUCAUUUUAGCCCCAUUAAGGAGCAUUUGUGCAGCAUCUUGCUCAAAUAUCAAGAAAACAAUACCAAGAAGUGGAAAAAGAGCUUACACCACCAUUAACACAAAUUGUAAAUGAAUAACAAAUGGUGAAUAUGUCAAAUAAUACACAUGAAAAGGAGGUUUGUUACUUCUUGGCUAUGUGUAUUAAUUAUGAUUAACUUGUAUGGCUUUGUAGCCUACAUCCACACUAGUAGAAGCCAUUGCUAUUAUGGCUGCCACAAUAUACAUGACAAGGUAUAUCAACUCUUUAGCUUGUAUAUAUUACAUACUAUAAUUUUAUUUGGCUUUAUAAGAAACAUUGGCACAACUGCAAGACAAUCAAAUAUUCUAGCAAAUGUUUCUUACAUCUGAGGUUUGUUUAAUUUUUAUCCAAAGUUAACAACAACUACAUAUUUUCUUAAUACUUUUGUAGGGAUCAAAAGAAGCAAGUGAUAUUGUAUAAGAGACUGUUAUUGUUGUGUAUGAGGUGAAAGAAACAAUGUGAGAAUCUAAAAUUGUUUCUAGCCCCUCUCACGUUGCAUUUUCCAUUGUAGCCACAGUAGAAGAAUAUUGAUAGUAGUGCACAAAAAUAAUUAACAACUAUCAUUAAAGAAAUAUCACUAUAAGUAGUUUCAUUUCUUUAUUUAAACUGGAAAAAUACCUAUAAGAACUUUAAAGCUUAACAUAAUAACCUUAAAACAAAUAAUGAAACUAUUAUUAGGAUUGGAGCCUUUUUUUACCAACAUGAAGUAAUACUAUAAGAGUGAGAAACAUAUAUACCAAUUACUAAAUACCAAAAAAAUUAAAAUAAAAAAGGUAUUAAAGUACUUUGUUGAACAAAUUGUGAAAUUCUGACAAUUAAUCCUUUCUAAAAAAGCUUGGUCCACAAAUACCUGGGACUAUAAUAUUAUAACAGUAAUAGAUUAGUUACUAGAAAAAUAUAUAUAUAUCUAUAACUAUAUUUUAUAAAAUGUAUUAUUAACCAAUAUAUAUAUGCAACAAAAUAUGUAAAUUGUGCUAAAAACUAGGUGCAUACAAAGACCAAAACAUUAUUCUAAAAAUUACUGUCUUCAAUAGUCACAUAAAUAGUUUCAAAACUAUAUCUAUAUCAGUGAAUCAUAUAUACUUACUUUUACUCCCAAGUUGCUCCUUAACCAUAUUAAAAACUACACUAGUAAUCACUCCUAGAGUGAUUGUUAAAUAGGACAUGAAUUAUACUAAAAACUAACAAAAGAACCAUGUGUGAAAUCAUUUAUGUCGUGGUCCCAAACCAGAGCAAUUAAAAAACCAUUUCCAAAACUAGAAAAGUGGCAUAUAGAUUUUUCUUAGACAACUGGUUAUACACAAAAACCAUAUUGACAGGUGUGCUAUGUUACCAUGGCUAAAACUAAUUUAUAAAUAACUCAGGGAAGUUAGAAGAAAUGAUGAGAUCAACAGAAAAAUCACAUUAAGUAUCACCAGAGGCUGCAAUUUACUUAAGCCACAUUAAUAACAAUAACAAUUCAUAUAUAAGCUAUGCUUUAGGAAUGAGUAAACAUUUUUCUCCUUCUAAGUGGCAAUAGAAUCCAUGGUUUUGCCUAAUAUUCUUAUUUAAUAAUGUUUUUACAUUUACACAUCCAAUAUGAGUAUUAAAUUUAGUUUCCUACCAAAUGUUCAAUUUGUGUUAUAAGAAAAUAAUCUCUUGUAAUUGAAGAUAAGUAAAUAAAAAGCAGUUAGGUUUCUGUAAACAAUGUAAUACUACUAUUUUAUUUUCAUUAUAUUAUAAAAUAUUACCAUCUUUUUGAGCUAUAAGAAAGUAGAAACCAUAAUGCUCAAUAGUAUUAGGUGAUGUUUUAAAGAAAUUUUUCUCAGAAUAAAGAGAAACUUAACAAUUUGAUUGUAAAAUUAAACCAUUCUUUCCAUUUGGAUUGGUCUGAUAAGAUUAUUUUGUAAAGAAGCAUUUAAAGAUUUCAAGUUAUUACAACUUUUAUAUGAAGGUAUAAAUGUAUCCAAGAAAUGUGUAUCAAUAAUUAUAAACACUUCCUAGAUAUAUAAUCUAGACAUAGUUUAAAUAACUCUUUAAUACCUGUUCUUAAUCUAUUUUCAGUGAUUGUACUUAGAGGAUAUAUGAUACGAUCAGGAGUAGUCAAAUAUAAUCUUCUAAGUUGUAGUUUUCAUAUAAUUUAUUGGAUAUAUGGGACUACUCCAGUUUUAAUUUGUGAUGUAAGAAAAUUAAAAUUAUCAAGAUCUAUCAGCUAAAGAGUUAUGUCUAAGUUACUUCUAUUGAUACUGCAUGUUCAAUAAAAUAUACAAUAAUAUUGAUUACAAAUAAUUAUUUUACAAAUAAUAAAUUUUUAUAAACUACAUAAUCAUUUUCUAAAAUUUCAAUAUUUUUUAUUUCUUCCAAAUUACUGUAUUUUUAAAUAUUAUUUUCAAAAGAAUAUUAUUCUAGAAAAAGUCCAGGUCACAUCAAGUGGCUUGCAGCAACAUAAGGUUGUGAAGAUCUAUGUACCAAGUAUCACAAAUACCAAAGACCAUGAUGAAUACAAUAGCAACAGCACUUGGUUUGCUUAAUAAUAAUUUUUACUAAUCCAAUUGAUAAAAUAGAAGUUUAUAAUUAUAUAAUAUUUAUAAUUUAUAAACACAAGAUUAAUUUUAUUGAAUAUCAACCAUUAGAGAAUAUACUAAAAAGUGUUAAGGAAAUUUUCUAAAUUAUAAAUAGGUUUAUAAAAUAUAAAUACAAGAGUAAUCUAAAUGAACAACAACUGUUAGAUGGUAAAAUGUCCUAGAAUAUUUAAGUAUAUUCUAAAUAUAUCUACUACUCCCAAUAUACUAUGAAAAUUCAUUGGAGAUGCUUUUGUUUUUGUGAUUGAAAGCCUUUGUCACCAGCUGGUGACAUGGAGAUCAGAGUACUUGUAAAAGCAGAGGUGCGCUACAUCCAAGAGAUCCAAGAGAGGAUGUAACCAGCAAAUCCAAAACUGCCCUUAGAAGUUGACGAACUAUCAAUCUGGAUGAGAUCAAUCCGGAAGUGUAAUUUUAGCAACCCCUUUCCUCUACAAAUAUCCCCGCCCUCGCGGUAAUCGUGGAAAGUCGACAAGAGUGGGCUCCCUCCAGGUAACGCGAUCAAAGCAAAGAAAAAUCCCCAUUCCCAUCUCAUUCCCAUUCCUUUCUCAUGCCGACAUAUCAUUUCGAUUUUCAAUGCAAAGUCGCUGCGUGGCUGUCGAUUCACUCUCUCAGGUUUGUUUAAUCUCCAUGCCGGGUUGAUCGCAAAAAACGACCCCGCCGCCGUCCUUGUUUGACACUUGCUUACACGCACACGAGUCAACACAUAAAGGUCCCCGUACGCUUUUCUUAUCGCUUUCUUUGGCUUGUUGAUUUCCUUCGCUUUGAUUUCCUCCCGGUUUUCUUCCCUGUUUGCGUGCUUGUUUUUUUUCUUCCAAAACGGGUGGGUGUGUGUGGUGUUUAUUACGAGACAGUCAGUCUGAUCUCUUUCACAUAUGGACCCCUGCGCCGCGCGCCUCUAUACUCUCCCAAAGUCUCCACAAUUUAUGGUCGCUUAUAAAAGCUUGCACGACUUCUCUGCCUCCUCGCGCACAACCAUCUCUCCUCUCCCCAAUUCCUCGCCUGGUCGAAUGUGAUCGCUUCUUGGGCUGUGCUGCGACGACCUUCCUGACCCGAUCCAUGGCAGCAGCGGCGGCAGGGAUGAACGAUUUCCAGCUCAGCGAGAUCCGGGUCACGCCAGCGCCCUCCAUCGCUCUCCCCGGGAAUGGCCACCAGAUUCAUCACCAGGCCUCGCCUCCCGCGGCCUCUAGGGGAUGCUUUCCAGUCGCCAUCGUGCCCAAAUCCACGCUCUUCCAGAAGGUAAUGGAUCGAUUUCCCCCCUCUUCUUCCUCUCUCUGUCCCCUGUUUAUAGGGUUCUUGGGAUGUGUAGAUUGGCGCGGAAGUGAUCAGCACAUUCAUCCUCGUCUUCGCGGGAUGUGGCGCCGCGAUGGUGGACGCCAAGUACAAGGAUUCGAUCACCCACUUGGGCGUCUCGGCGGCGUUUGGGCUUGUGGUGAUGAUCAUGGUCUACGCCGUCGGCCACAUCUCUGGAGCUCACAUGAAUCCGGCCGUGACUCUGGCGUUUGCGACCGUGCGCCAUUUCCCCUGGCAGCAAGUAAGCUAGAUCUCUCGCCUAGAUUCUCGUGUUUGAGUGGUCGAUUGAGUUAGAUUUGGAUUGAUCGUGAAUUAGUCGAUGGUUCUUCUUUGUGUUCUUUCCCGCGAUCUUCGUCGCUAACUUUGGAAGUGUUUGAUUGAAAUCUCUCCUCUCUCCCAGGUUCCUGCCUACAUCGGCGCACAGAUCACUGCCGCGAUCACUGCCGCGUUUGCGCUGCGGCUGAUCAUCAGCCCCGUGGCUAACAUCGGUGCCACAAUUCCCGCUGGAAGCGAUCUCCAGUCGUUCUAUCUGGAAGCGAUCAUCACCUACAUUCUCAUGUUCGUCGUCUCCGCCGUCGCCACCGACGCUCGAGCGGUAAGCGCCGACACAUCCUCUCUGUAGAUGCCGCUCUAAUGUCCGCGACGAUCGUGUAGAUUGGAGAAUUGGCAGGCCUCGCAAUCGGUGCUACAGUGGGCUUGAAUGCCAUCUUCGCCGGGUAAGCCACUCAUUCCCCCUUUUGGAUCGAUCAAACUGGACAAAAUCCUUCUCGAGCUUUACGACAUUUUUCUCCCUCGUUCGCUCAGGCCAAUAUCGGGCGCGUCAAUGAAUCCAGCACGAAGCUUGGGCCCCGCGAUCGCCGCGAACAACUACAGUGGAUUGUGGGUUUACAUUGUCGGCCCGACAGUCGGCGCGCUGGCGGGUGCGUGUUCUUACAACAUGAUCCGGCUGCCCGUGAAGCCGGACGAGCUCCCCAGGGCCGCUAGCUUCAAGAGAUAGAACAAGGCUGUAAAAAGAAUAGCAGCUUUAGGUGACCACCUAAGUGAUAACUCAAGUAAAAAAAUAACUAGUUAGCCAUCUCUCGCUUACUCACUAGUUUAACAAUUGGAAAUUCCAUUCAUUCAUUUAGUAAUUGUUUACAGGGUCUUGUGGCGCCGACGAGACCGACGGAUUAUAAUAAACUGUUUUAAUAAUCUUACUGCGAGGUUUUGUCCUCCCAAUAUUCUUGAUUUACUUCAUGGUAGUGGAGGAUUUCCAUCGUAGCUCUAAAUUAUCAAUUAUCUUUUCUUGUUUAACAUUUUAAGAAAAUACCAGUGGAGCAAACGAACUGCUAAGGAUAAAAAUAUUUGGUUGGAGUGUUAAGAAAAGAUCUUAGGAUUUUAAAUUAAAUUAAUUUAACCCCAUUGAAAAACUUAUAGCUUAGUAAGAACAUAAUAGUCAAAGGCUUGGUCAGUUUCUUGGUCACGCUCAAAGAAACAACAGCAUCUUUGCCAAUCUAACAUGAUUAGAUUUUGUAUGCACUUGAGCAGCCAAAAACAGCUUGGAGUGGCAGACAGAAUCCAGCUUCUUCUUCCAUUUUGCAAAAACAGGCGUUGGAGUCUAUGCUUCAUGUUGCCUGUCCUAUUGGCUCUAUCGAAGCCACAGUUAGAAUUGUUGGCCCCUCCCUCCAACUCUAAAUCUCCUGAUUCAUGGUACGAGAGCAGGCCUGUAUCAGAUCCACCAAGCCCAUUGCUCAAAGAGAAGCUUGUUUUGCAUGCUGGGAGAGAAAGGUCUUUAAGAAGUCCCAUUAGCAGGUAAUUACUUUGUGCAUUUAAUUUUGAAACUAUAAAACCACAUUAUUGAACUGACAAUUAUUUUUAUUCACGUUCUCACACUCAAAGAAAUAGCCAAAUAGAUAAGUUACCGGUUUCUCGAGAGGACUUUUCCAGUAAAUCGAAGUCAAAGAGUAGGCCAGAAAGGAGGUUGGAUGUCAUUAAUUCUUCAAGAAACUCUGGACUAAAGUGCGUCACAGAGGUGACCACGCGGAUAAAAAUUUCAACUGUGGCCCCCUACACACUCUCACAUACUCACUCACACCGAGCUCCUUAAGUACGCACGAAAAUGGUUUGGUUGCUCAAAUCUCACUCAUUCUUUCUCUGAACAGGAAGAAUGACCUUUGUAGCUUUCCAGGCUCCAAAGCUCCCGGGAGUGGCCAAAGUCUUGUAACUCUGCACGGGAAGAAAGAAAUGGUAAGUUCAUCUAGACUGUCCGGCACAAGAUCUAAGCAAAACAACCGCAGGAAUUGGAGAGCAAAGCACAGGCUUACUUGUAUGCGCAGAAUGGAACUCUGGAUUUCAAAGGCCGGCCUGCUCUCAAGAAGAAGACCGGACGAUGGCCGGGAGCCAUCCCAAUGCUCGGUGAGGGUGCACUGUCUCGUUCUCUGCCAGUUCUAAAAGCUUUUCUUUCCUGUGCCGCAGUGAUCCAAAUGUCUGCCACUGUCAUCUUCUUCGGCAUAGUUUCCAACCUGGUGACUUACUUGACGACCGUUAUGCAUCAAGGUGUUGCCAGAUCCGCCAGAGAUCUCACUAAUUGGCAAGGAACGCUCUUCGUCUCGUCAGUUCUCGGAGCUUUUCUCUCCGACACAUAUUGGGGGCGCUACAAGACGCUGUUGUACUCGUUUCUUCUCUACUGCGUGGUGAGUAGUAGACUAAGUAGUGAGCUUGCCGCAAACUUUCUUCUCUCUGCAAAACAAAAACCAUCAUCACCAUCAUCACUUCACACACUUCGAAAGAAAAAAAACUAAACUUCCUGACAGGGACUGAGCUGCCUUACCAUCUCCGCAUCCGUCAGAAGCUUGAGGCCUCCAAGUUGUCCCGCUCGAAACUACACUUGCCAGCCAGCGUCCACUGCUCAGAAUGCCUUGUUCUUCUUCUCCCUCUACGCCAUAGCGUUUGCGGGCGGAAGCUCCACCGCCUCGUUCAUGUCCUUUGGAGCCGACCAGUUCGAUGAGUCCGACGACGUCGAGAGGCCGCAAAAGUACUCCUUCUUCAACUUCCUGCUCUGUGCCAUUCACGUCGGAGGCCUGAUAUCAGUCACCGUCCUCGUCUACAUCGAGGACAACGUAGGCUUCUCCUGGGGCUUCGGCAUUCUCGUCAUCGUUCUCUCCAUCGCCUUGGUCGUCUUUCUCAUCCAGAUGCCGAGAUACCGCUACCGUCGUCCCGACGGAAGCCCCCUCACAAAGAUCGCACAAGUCCUGGUCUCCGCUUUCCGAAAGCGUCGCAACAGAUUCGGAGCUCUUGAGCUCUACGAGGAAAAGUCCAUCGCCAAAGGCAAAAGACACAUCCCCCACACCGACGAGUUCCUGUGAGUAGUGCCUGUCAUCUUCUUCCGUCCCUUUGCUCCUGUUCUAAAAGCCGCGGUGUUCGUCGUCCAGGUUCCUUGACAAGGCAGCACUCAAACUCGAUGGUGACAUGGAUAUGGAAGUGGAAUCCACGACGAAAACCAGCCCCUGGAAGCUUUCCACCGUGACGCGAGUCGAGGAGGUAAAGCUCGUCAUACGAAUGCUCCCAGUCUGGUUCGCAACGCUAUGGUUUACCACUGCUCCAACCCAGUCCGCCACCUUCUUCCUCCGCCAAGGAAUGGCUAUGGACAACCGGCUUGGAAGCACCUCCUUCAAGAUCCCGCCAGCGUCCAUGCUUCUCUUCAGCAACAUCACCGUCGUGCUCUUCCUCCCGUUCUACGACCGGAUCCUCGUCCCGGCCAUGAGAAAGAUCUCCAAGAACGAGCGCGGCAUCACCUUGCUCCAGCGAACCGGGCUGGGGAUCUUCGUCACCGUGAUCGCGCUCGUCACCGCGGCACUGGUGGAGAUCAAGAGGAAGGACGAGAACUCCAGCUCCAGGAAGCUAGGAAUCUUCUGGCUGCUGCCACAGUACGCGCUGCUGGGCAUGGCGGAGGGCCUGGCCAACACGAGCAUGCUGGAGUUCUUCCACGAGCAAUCGCCCGAUACCUUCCACAGCCUGGGGAUCAGCCUGGGGCUCGCGAACCUGGGCGUGGGG